This 472-nucleotide ribosomal RNA is filed under the name uncultured bacterium. RNAcentral describes it as "SSU rRNA". It matches the Rfam family "Bacterial small subunit ribosomal RNA", at positions 26 to 521 of the family's 1533-position model. The record is from RNAcentral.
AGGAUGAACGCUGGCGGCGUGCCUAACACAUGCAAGUCGAACGUCCUGUCUCGCAAGAGGCAGGGAGUGGCGGACGGGUGAGUACCACGUGGGUCAUCUACCGUGAGGUGAGGAAUACCGGCGAGAAAUCGCCGACAAGACCGCAUAGGCUCGAUGCAAGUCGAGCAAAGCUCUUUCGAGAGAGGGAGCGCCACACGAGGAGCCUGCGCCCGAUUAGCUAGCUGGUGGAGUAACGGUUCACCAGGGCGACGAUCGGUAGCUGGUCUGAGAGGACGAUCAGCCACACUGGAUUGAGAACGGCCCAGACUCCUACGGGGGGCAGCAGUGAGGAAUUUUCGUCAAUGGGGGCAACCCUGAACGAGCAACGCCGCGUGCAGGAAGAGGUUUCGGAUCGUAAACUGCUUUUCUCGGGAAGAGAAUGGACGGUACCCGAGGAAUCAGCCCCGGCUAACUACGUGCCAGCAGCCGCGGU